RNAcentral lists this ribosomal RNA (491 nucleotides) under uncultured bacterium. RNAcentral describes it as "partial 16S ribosomal RNA". It matches the Rfam family "Bacterial small subunit ribosomal RNA", at positions 29 to 506 of the family's 1533-position model. The record is from RNAcentral.
AGUGAACGCUGGCGGUAGGCCUAACACAUGCAAGUCGAACGGCAGCACAGUAAGAGCUUGCUCUUACGGGUGGCGAGUGGCGGACGGGUGAGGAAUACAUCGGAAUCUACUUUUUCGUGGGGGAUAACGUAGGGAAACUUACGCUAAUACCGCAUACGACCUACGGGUGAAAGCAGGGGAUCUUCGGACCUUGCGCGAUUGAAUGAGCCGAUGUCGGAUUAGCUAGUUGGCGGGGUAAAGGCCCACCAAGGCGACGAUCCGUAGCUGGUCUGAGAGGAUGAUCGGCCACACUGAAACGAAGACACGGUCCAGACCCCCAGGGGGGGCCGAAGUGGGGAAUUUUGGACAAUGGGGCCAGCCCUAACCCCCCCAUCCCCGGGGGGUAAAGAAGGCCUUCGGUUUGUAAACCCCUUUUUUUGGGAAAAAAAAGCAGCAGUUUAAUCCCCCGCUUUUCUGACGGUCCCCAAAAAAUAAGCACCGGCUAACUUCGU